RNAcentral lists this unclassified non-coding RNA (372 nucleotides) under uncultured Russula. Its description in RNAcentral is "sequence contains ITS1". The stretch from base 1 to 105 matches the Rfam family "5.8S ribosomal RNA", at positions 50 to 154 of the family's 154-position model. Lineage: Eukaryota; Fungi; Basidiomycota; Agaricomycetes; Russulales; Russulaceae. The record is from RNAcentral.
GAAAUGCGAUACGUAAUGUGAAUUGCAGAAUUCAGUGAAUCAUCGAAUCUUUGAACGCACCUUGCGCCCCUUGGUAUUCCGAGGGGCACACCCGUUUGAGUGUCGUGAAAUUCUCAAACCUUCUUGGUCUCUCGAUCAAGAUGGCUUUGGACUUGGAGGCGUUUGCUGGCUUUGCGAAAAGCCAGCUCCUCUUAAAUGCAUUAGUGGGGUCCCCUUUGCCGAUCCCGAGGCGUGAUAAGUCAUUUCUACGUCUUGGGAUUUGCUCUGUUCCUUGGGAACCCGCUUCUAACCGUCUCACGGGAGACAUCGUUCGAGCUUGCUCGACCCACGAACCUUGACCUCAAAUCGGGUGAGACUACCAGCUGAACUUAA